This 247-nucleotide long non-coding RNA is filed under the name Theobroma cacao (cacao). Its description in RNAcentral is "long non-coding RNA (TCAC_LNC003277)". The record is from RNAcentral. Lineage: Eukaryota; Viridiplantae; Streptophyta; Magnoliopsida; Malvales; Malvaceae.
CAUACAAUCAUUCAUUCUUCUUUUAUUGUCUUCUUUGACCGGCCAUGUGGUUAAAAUGCAAGUCAACAAUUUCUUGGAACCUUUACCGCCAGCUUACUUGACUUUUCUUCCCCAUUUCACUAUUUUCUCAUCUUUUCUCUUCAUUUUCUUUGUCAUGGACGGCUUAUCCAUGAAUUCAUGACUUUUGACUUAUUUUCUCCACUUAUUUUAUGCACUAAAUCACAUGACAAAGACUUUAUCACCUUCC